GACGAACGCUGGCGGCGUGCUUAACACAUGCAAGUCGAACGGAAAGGCCCUGCUUUUGUGGGGUGCUCGAGUGGCGAACGGGUGAGUAACACGUGAGUAACCUGCCCUUGACUUUGGGAUAACUUCAGGAAACUGGGGCUAAUACCGGAUAGGAGCUCCUGCUGCAUGGUGGGGGUUGGAAAGUUUCGGCGGUUGGGGAUGGACUCGCGGCUUAUCAGCUUGUUGGUGGGGUAGUGGCUUACCAGGGCUUUGACGGGUAGCCGGCCUGAGAGGGUGACCGGCCACAUUGGGACUGAGAUACGGCCCAGACUCCUACGGGAGGCAGCAGUGGGGAAUAUUGCACAAUGGGCGGAAGCCUGAUGCAGCAACGCCGCGUGCGGGAUGACAGCCUUCGGGUUGUAAACCGCUUUCGCCUGUGACGAAGCGUGAGUGACGGUAAUGGGUAAAGAAGCACCGGCUAACUACGUG
RNAcentral lists this ribosomal RNA (468 nucleotides) under uncultured bacterium. RNAcentral's name for it is "partial 16S ribosomal RNA". It matches the Rfam family "Bacterial small subunit ribosomal RNA", at positions 28 to 507 of the family's 1533-position model. The record is from RNAcentral.